AGCUUGUUGGUGAGGUAAAGGCUCACCAAGGCAAUGAUCAAUAGCUGGUUUGAGAGGAUGAUCAGCCACACUGGCACUGAGACACGGCCCAGACUCCUACGGGAGGCAGCAGUGGGGAAUAUUGGACAAUGGGCGAAAGCCUGAUCCAGCAAUGCCGCGUGAGUGAAGAAGGCCUUAGGGUUGUAAAACUCUUUUAUAUGUGAAGAUAAUGACGGUAACAUAUGAAUAAGCACCGGCUAACUUCGUGCCAGCAGCCGCGGUAAUACGAAGGGUGCUAGCGUUGUUCGGAAUGACUGGGCGUAAAGGGCGUGUAGGCGGUCUCAUGCGUCAGAUGUGAAAGUCCUGGGCUUAACCUGGGGAUUGCAUUUGAUACGGUGGGACUAGAGGUCGUGAGAGGAAAAUGGAAUUGCUCGUGUAGAAGUGAAAUUCGUAGAUAUGAGCAGGAACACCAGUGGCGAAGGCGAUUUUCUGGCGCUGACCUGACGCUAAGGCGCGAAAGCGUGGGGAGCAAACAGGAUUAGAUACCCUGGUAGUCCACGCUGUAAACGAUGGAUGCUAAAUGUCGGGAGUUACGCUCUCGGUGUUGAAGCUAACGCGAUAAGCAUCCCGCCUGGGGAGUACGGUCGCAAGAUUAAAACUCAAAGAAAUUGACGGGGACCCGCACAAGCGGUGGAGUAUGUGGUUUAAUUCGAAGCUACGCGCAGAACCUUACCAGCCUUUGACAUGGAUAGUAUGAGUCUGAGAGAUCAGAUUCUUCAGCUCGGCUGGCUAUCGCACAGGUGCUGCAUGGCUGUCGUCAGCUCGUGUCGUGAGAUGUUGGGUUAAGUCCCGCAACGAGCGCAACCCUUGAUGCUAGUUACUAACAGGUUUGGCUGAGUACUUUAGCAUGACUGCCGGUGACAAGCCGGAGGAAGGUGGGGAUGACGUCAAGUCCUCAUGGCCCUUAUAGGCUGGGCUACACACGUACUACAAUGGUCCUGACAAAGAGAAGCAAUAUCGCAAGGUGGAGCAAAUCUAUAAAAGGGACCUCAGUUCAGAUUGUCCUCUGCAACUCGAGGGCAUGAAGUCGGAAUCGCUAGUAAUCGUAGAUCAGCAUGCUACGGUGAAUACGUUCUCGGGUCUUGUACACACUGCCCGUCACACCAUGGGAGUUGGAUUUACCUUAAGCCGGUGAGCUAACCUGAGCAAUCAGGAGGCAGCCGACCACGGUAGGUUCAGUGACUGGGGUGAAGUCGUAACAAGGUAGCCGUAGGGGAACCUGCGGCUG
Molecule: ribosomal RNA, 1267 nt
Filed under: metagenome
Description: bacterial SSU rRNA
Rfam family: Bacterial small subunit ribosomal RNA
Source: RNAcentral